This 253-nucleotide ribosomal RNA is filed under the name uncultured bacterium. RNAcentral describes it as "partial 16S ribosomal RNA". It matches the Rfam family "Bacterial small subunit ribosomal RNA", at positions 524 to 776 of the family's 1533-position model. The record is from RNAcentral.
GACGAACCGUGCGAACGUUGUUCGGAUUCACUGGGCUUAAAGGGCGCGUAGGCGGACGGUCAAGUCGGGGGUGAAAUCUUUCAGCUUAACUGGAAAAGUGCCUCCGAUACUGAUCGUCUCGAGGGAGGUAGGGGCAUGUGGAACUUCCGGUGGAGCGGUGAAAUGCGUAGAGAUCGGAAAGACCACCAACGGCGAAAGCACUCUGCUGGGCCGACACUGACACUGAGAGACGAAAGCUAGGGGAGCGAAUGGG